UGGACAUGCCUGUCUAUUUGGCCUGAAGCAGAUCUGCUCCUGUUGGCUGCUGCUGCUGCUGAAGAACUCUCCUCCCAGCUCACUACAGCUAAUGACACACACCUUGUCUCCCAGGUGCAGAGGGAGCAGAGGGAGAAGAGCUGAGAACCACCAGCCACCAACCACUCCGCGCCGGUUCGGGGGAAAAUGACCACCAGCUGAGUUUCACUUGGGGAGAGGAGGCUCUGCGGCUGAUCUUCACGGACAAGAUGUUGGACAGAGACUUCACGCUGCUCUCUGAAUAUGGAAUCCAGCAUCUGUCCGUGAUCAAGAUGGCGUUGAAGGUUCCUGGAGGACUGACGGCCUGACAGAGACGACGUCCUCCCAUACCACCAUUGUGCUGCUUCACGAAGCUACUUCCUGUUUACAAAUGUCGAACCUUUAUUCCAAUAAACCUUUUAGUGAUGUUCCCAA
Molecule: long non-coding RNA, 453 nt
Organism: Hippoglossus stenolepis (Pacific halibut)
Lineage: Eukaryota; Metazoa; Chordata; Actinopteri; Pleuronectiformes; Pleuronectidae
Exons: 2
Source: RefSeq, a predicted model, not a curated record